AACGCUUCUUUUUCCACCGGAGCUUGCUCCACCGGAAAAAGAAGAGUGGCGAACGGGUGAGUAACACGUGGGUAACCUGCCCAUCAGAAGGGGAUAACACUUGGAAACAGGUGCUAAUACCGUAUAACAAUCAAAACCGCAUGGUUUUGAUUUGAAAGGCGCUUUCGGGUGUCGCUGAUGGAUGGACCCGCGGUGCAUUAGCUAGUUGGUGAGGUAACGGCUCACCAAGGCCACGAUGCAUAGCCGACCUGAGAGGGUGAUCGGCCACAUUGGGACUGAGACACGGCCCAAACUCCUACGGGAGGCAGCAGUAGGGAAUCUUCGGCAAUGGACGAAAGUCUGACCGAGCAACGCCGCGUGAGUGAAGAAGGUUUUCGGAUCGUAAAACUCUGUUGUUAGAGAAGAACAAGGAUGAGAGUAACUGUUCAUCCCUUGACGGAAUCUAACCAGAAAGCCACGGCUAACUACGUGCCAGCAGCCGCGGCAAUACGUAGGUGGCAAGCGUUG
RNAcentral lists this ribosomal RNA (507 nucleotides) under Enterococcus sp. RNAcentral's name for it is "bacterial SSU rRNA". It matches the Rfam family "Bacterial small subunit ribosomal RNA", at positions 65 to 543 of the family's 1533-position model. The record is from RNAcentral. Lineage: Bacteria; Bacillati; Bacillota; Bacilli; Lactobacillales; Enterococcaceae.